This 2178-nucleotide long non-coding RNA is filed under the name Podarcis muralis (Common wall lizard). Its description in RNAcentral is "lncRNA (ENSPMRG00000007355.1)". The record is from RNAcentral. Lineage: Eukaryota; Metazoa; Chordata; Lepidosauria; Squamata; Lacertidae.
UCUACCUACCCUGUAUCAUUCAUGCAAUUGUCUUCUCUUCCCUUUCUCCAGGUGCCUCUUUGGAAUGUGUAGUUUGCCGUGGACAAACAUUCUGCACUGGCACAAAGGAACCUUGCCCUUCUGCUGAUGAUGUGUGUUACAUGACUUUGGCAGAACGCCCAAAAGAUAACACCACAGUUACAAAAGUAGUGAAGGGCUGCCUUUCCCCUGACCUCUGCAAAAUAUGGUUCGAGAUUUAUCUUGGACAGGAUAAACACAUCAGGGAAAGCACUGUCUGCUGCUCAAAGGAGAAUUGUUCGCCAGAUUCCCCUGAAUUGCCAAGAAUGCCCCCCGAUGUCAAUGGAAAGUUUUGCCCAUCCUGCUAUUCUAAAAAUGAUGAAUGCCCUGAGGAAUAUGUCUAUUGUACUGGAGGGAAUGCUUUCUGCAUAGGUUUUAUCACGGUUACAGACACGAACGUCGUAAAUAGCACCAUGAAGGGCUGCAUUUCUGAAUCUGGCUGCCAGACACUACAAUCAAUGAACAGACCGCUUUCUGCCUUUCCUAAUAUGAGAAAUGUGACCUGUUCCCAGGCCAAGGUCUCUCAAGCCAGCAGGGCUGCUCCCUCGUUAGCAUAUCCCCUCCUAGUUCUCCUGCUGAUGAAACUUCUCUUAUAAUGUCUCUUUUGCAGCAUCUCAGCAAUGAAGAAAUACUCCUCUCUUCCCCCUUUGCCUCUUGUUUUCACUUCGGCCUUUCAAGGGUAUUUGCCUUCUUCUCUGUUGUAUUGAGUGAAAGUUAAUAAAAGUUGAAAAAACUGAGAUCCUAUCUUUGUCUGCCUAAGAACAUAGGACUCUGCCUUCUACGGAGUCAAACAAUCUAAUUCAGUACUGUUUAAUGGGCAAUGUCUCUCCAGGUUUCAGAAAGAGUUCUCUGCCAGCCCUAUACAGUGGUACCUCGGGUUACAGACGCUUCAGGUUACAGACUCCACUAACCCAGAAAUAGUACCUCGGGUUAAGAAUUUUGCUUCAGGAUGAGAACAGAAAUUGUGCGGCAGUGGUGCGGUGGCAGCAGGAGGGAAUGAGCUGGGAUGCUGGGAAUGAGCCCGGUUUGUUCUGCAUGGAGCUCUGUUGCUGAGCCACAGUCCUUCCCUGCUGUUUCUGCAGACCUGCCAAUCAAAGUGCUCAGAGGUCCAAACUCAAAAUUGGGCCAAAGUCAAGUUACCAACAUUGGGGUAAGAUAUUAAUUGCAUUCACAGGUACUGAGCCAACCAUCCUGCACUGUGUAUCAGACCACUCAUGACAUUAUUUUUGGUUCAAAUUAGGCCACAACUUCAUUGGUUAAAGAUGUAAGGAGCUUUGACUUAGGCAUUGCGUAUAACGCAUAUCAACCAAGUCGCCUGCUGGUUGAUUCACCAAGAGGUUGAUCUGGUGGUGGAGAGUCCCAUGACAUAUAUCAAAUAGGUACUACCCCACCCAGAUUGCCUUGGGAGGAGUGCUAUGGUCCUAGCCCUUGUCUGGGCAUCUGUACAGGAGCAGCUCCUUCAGGAUUAUUAUGAUUUAUUAAUUUUAUAUAAAGCCCUUCAUUUAUAUCUCGGGGCAGUUAAUAAGAUUCUCUAUGCUUAAAGAAGAGUGCUUCUGUUGUUAUUAUCAGUUUGGUUUUUAACCUGCCUUUCCCCCUGAAGGAGCCCAGGCAGGCCAUACUACAAGAUGGCAAACAGCACAAUGCAAUUAAAAACAUCACAAUUUUUAAAAGCAACUAAAACACUAUACAUUAUACAGCAUAUAGAACAUUUUUAAGCUGCUGAACAUACCCCCCGGAAUUAGAAGGCAAUUGGGCUGGAUCCGGCCCCCUGGCCUUAGUUUGCCUAUCCAUGAUUUAAAUCAGGGGUCAGCAAACUUUUUCAACAGUUCACUGUCCCUCAGACCUUGUGGGGGGCUGGACUAUAUAUAUUUUUUUGGGGGGGGAAUGAACGAAUUCCUAUGCCCCACAAAUAACCCAGAGAUGCAUUUUAAAUAAAAGCACAUAUUCUACUCAUGUAAAAACACUGAUUCCCGGACCGUCCGCAGGACGGAUUGAGAAGGCAAUUGGGCCGGAUCUGGCCCCCAGGCCUUAGUUUGCCUACCUGUGAUUUAAAUGCUUGCCAAAGUAUCUUUUUCCUAAUGGCUUUCUUUCAUUUUCAGUUGAUUCUUCCAAUCUCUACAA